CGGAAACAGCAGCAGCAGUGAACUGCCGACCGACUCGACCGCACCGUGGGAGAUUAUAUUGCACAUGUAUUUGUAACGCAUACGUAUUUCUCUCUGCAAAUAAUUGAAAAUGCUAACAGCUGGCAACUUUGGCUUUAUCAAACUUCAUUGGUUACGACUGAUUUCCGCGUGCCCUUCAAUUUGCCUGCAACUGUCCCCAGCACACACGAAUGCAAACACAGAAGGCAAACGCGAAGCACUCACACAAUAAACGAGCUAGCGCUCACGUAGCCCAUCGCACAGUACAAAAACAAAGGCACAUGCAUGAAAAUCAAAACGGCCGACUGAAAGAGAAGACGCCACUAGAGAGAGAGGCAUGGACAAAGCCGUUUGAAUUUGUUUGCCAAAGCGAAUGGGGGAAAAAAUACGAGAAACUAAAGAAACAGCUGUAAAUACAUGCAUGGGCAUACAUACAUAUUUAUUAGAGUAUGUAUGUAUUGUACCAUUGUAAAUAUAUGUAUGUAUGUGUGUAUGCAGAUGAAGAGCGGCGCGUACUCCAAAAUUUGGGUCAACGGCCCAGUUCAAAGUCACCCGUUUAACUCAUUUUUGAAAGGGAUCCCAGCAACAAACAUACCCAAAAACAUACAUACAUAUGUACGUACAAUGCGUAAUGAUUGAUUGUAGCCCUUAAAUAUAUUACGUGCGCAGUCAGCGAACAUGGCACGUGCACCACGCGACAGAGAUGUCCCAUAUAGUAUUUCUUCACAGUCACAUUUAGCAUUGCCAACGACGGGUACAAAAUAAUUUGGAAUUUGUACAAAAUAUGUACAAUAUGACAUUCUUGCGGAUAGCUCAUAAAACAUAAUUCAUAAAACAAUGCCUCUAAAGAGAGUAAAGUGCAGGACUAUUCAUACACAAUGUGCAAAAGCGCGCGAGUCACGGCUAAUUCCAUUGCUCAGCACUGGUUUGUGGUCGAUGCUGUCGAGGGCGGCGAGCACGCACUCAUGGCGACCUUGUGACGUGCGUGGCCAGACGUAGUUCAAACUUCAUACAUACGUAAGUAUGUAUGUACGAUUAUCGUCUUGUUUGUUGCUAGGCACAUUGUAGGGCUGCAAACUGUAUCACCUACAAUGCACGCAGCAGAAGACAACUGUAAAAUGUUUGCAAUAUAUAAUGGCAGCAAUGGAUUGUGUGGAUCUUGAGCUAAUUUCUUGUAAGAGGGUCGAGGGGGCCGAAAGUUGCUUGAAAAGAGCCGCGAGUCUGACCAAUCUGUCACUUUCAUAGAUAAUAUGCAUACAUAUGUUUGCUUGUAAGAAGAAAUGAACGAACUAAGAUCAUGCGACAUGCCAUUUCUAAUUGUUUGAUAAAUAACAACAGACCGGGUGCAAUCUAAAGACGCGAAGCAGCGCCUACGAAAGAUUGAAAACGCAGCAAAAACUUGCCAAUCAGAUAAGCAGCCAAAUAACAACGUAAAGACUUGCGUACGCACGGCACGUACGCAAAACAAUUGAGAAGGGCCACCCAAGUGGAAGAAGCACGAAGACCACCCACCAAAGACGAUUAGCAAAACAAAACGACAAAAGAAAUUCGCAAAUUUAUCGAUGAAUCAGCACUAAAGUCAUCGGCCGGCCAUUUGCAAUUAGAAUUUUUGCCAGUUGUGUGCUGGUGUGUGUGUACUUUCGUGUGUGUGUGUGUGUGUGUUCUCUUAUAUCUGUUUGAACAGCAUGUGUAAAUAAAAGAAAAUAUAUGUAUGUAUGUAGAAACAAUUUGGACCGGCCAACUGCGCAACAGAAUAAUUACAAAGUAAGCGGCGCCAUUCAGUAAAUGCGACUGCACUUCGCAAGAGGUGUUAACAAAUCAAACAAUGUGCUCAGGUGUGUACGUGCAGCUACUCGGUAUGGGAAUCGCGACAGUUCGGCUCGGUUCGUCUCAACUCGGCCAUAUGCAUUACAUGACGCUGCACGUAACGGCAAUAAUAAACAGUAAACAUUCCAGACGACGUACGCCAUGCGCCAUAUUCGCAACUGCACCAAAUCUAAUCGCAGGGCAUAUAUUUGCUUUUGGCAAAAAAAAAAAAAAAGAAAAAAAGAACACCAUAAAUUAACGGGCCUGCAGUCAGCAGCGCCAAAGAUCCGAGCACGUAUAGCUUAUCGCUAAUUAGCGCCUUGUGCGUGCAUGUGUGUAAGCAACUAUCUAUGUAUGUAUGUAUGUAUGUAUGUAUGCAGGCGUGAAUGUAGAAUGUACAUUCAUAAGUACGCAUUUUCCGGGGCGUUGGCUUUAUCGCGUUAUACAUGUAUAAUUUGUUAA
This is a non-coding RNA of Drosophila virilis, 2286 nucleotides long. Lineage: Eukaryota; Metazoa; Arthropoda; Insecta; Diptera; Drosophilidae. The record is from RefSeq and is a predicted model, not a curated record.